This 492-nucleotide ribosomal RNA is filed under the name uncultured bacterium. Its description in RNAcentral is "partial 16S ribosomal RNA". It matches the Rfam family "Bacterial small subunit ribosomal RNA", at positions 29 to 507 of the family's 1533-position model. The record is from RNAcentral.
AGUGAACGCUGGCGGUAGACCUAACACAUGCAAGUCGAACGGCAGCACAGUAAGAGCUUGCUCUUACGGGUGGCGAGUGGCGGACGGGUGAGGAAUACAUCGGAAUCUACUUUUUCGUGGGGGAUAACGUAGGGAAACUUACGCUAAUACCGCAUACGACGUACGGGUGAAAGCAGGGGAUCUUCGGACCUUGCGCGAUUGAAUGAGCCGAUGUCGGAUUAGCUAGUUGGCGGGGUAAAGGCCCACCAAGGCGACGAUCCGUAGCUGGUCUGAGAGGAUGAUCAGCCACACUGGAACUGAGACACGGUCCAGACUCCUACGGGAGGCAGCAGUGGGGAAUAUUGGACAAUGGGAGCAAGCCUGAUCCAGCCAUACCGCGUGGGUGAAGAAGGCCUUCGGGUUGUAAAGCCCUUUUGUUGGGAAAGAAAAGCAGCAGGUUAAUACCCCGCUGUUCUGACGGUACCCAAAGAAUAAGCACCGGCUAACUUCGUG